GAUGAACGCUGGCGGCGUGCCUAAUACAUGCAAGUCGAGCGAACAGACGAGGAGCUUGCUCCUCUGACGUUAGCGGCGGACGGGUGAGUAACACGUGGAUAACCUACCUAUAAGACUGGGAUAACUUCGGGAAACCGGAGCUAAUACCGGAUAAUAUAUUGAACCGCAUGGUUCAAUAGUGAAAGACGGUUUUGCUGUCACUUAUAGAUGGAUCCGCGCCGCAUUAGCUAGUUGGUAAGGUAACGGCUUACCAAGGCAACGAUGCGUAGCCGACCUGAGAGGGUGAUCGGCCACACUGGAACUGAGACACGGUCCAGACUCCUACGGGAGGCAGCAGUAGGGAAUCUUCCGCAAUGGGCGAAAGCCUGACGGAGCAACGCCGCGUGAGUGAUGAAGGUCUUCGGAUCGUAAAACUCUGUAUUAGGGAAGAACAAAUGUGUAAGUAACUAUGCACGUCUUGACGGUACCUAAUCAGAAAGCCACGGCUAACUACGUG
Molecule: ribosomal RNA, 496 nt
Filed under: uncultured bacterium
Lineage: Bacteria
Description: partial 16S ribosomal RNA
Rfam family: Bacterial small subunit ribosomal RNA
Source: RNAcentral